CCACAUCUAUUAUUUAAUUGCCGUCAGAUAGCUUCUCACCUCUAAAAAUAGAAAAUGUCCGUCUUUGAAAAUGUUUUUCUGAUCUAGUGCAUGUUUUUUGCUUUAUUACAUUAUAUAUGUUUUAGGAUUAUUCUUAUAUCUUUUGUUUUAGAGUAUAUAUAUAGUGAGUAGCACACGACAUACCCUCAUGGUGGUGUGAUGUACCGUAAUUACCGGAGGGUUUUACUUAAAUGGCUCUUGCAAUUAGCAUGAUACCUACACUGA
This 264-nucleotide long non-coding RNA is filed under the name Sorghum bicolor (sorghum). Its description in RNAcentral is "long non-coding RNA (SBIC_LNC008031)". Lineage: Eukaryota; Viridiplantae; Streptophyta; Magnoliopsida; Poales; Poaceae. The record is from RNAcentral.